GACGAACGCUGGCGGCGUGCUUAACACAUGCAAGUCGAACGGAAAGGCCCUGCUUUUGUGGGGUGCUCGAGUGGCGAACGGGCGAGUAACACGUGAGUAACCUGCCCUUGACUUUGGGAUAACUUCAGGAAACUGGGGCUAAUACCGGAUAGGAGCUCCUGCUGCAUGGUGGGGGUUGGAAAGUUUCGGCGGUUGGGGAUGGACUCGCGGCUUAUCAGCUUGUUGGUGGGGUAGUGGCUUACCAAGGCUUUGACGGGUAGCCGGCCUGAGAGGGUGACCGGCCACAUUGGGACUGAGAUACGGCCCAGACUCCUACGGGAGGCAGCAGUGGGGAAUAUUGCACAAUGGGCGGAAGCCUGAUGCAGCAACGCCGCGUGCGGGAUGACGGCCUUCGGGUUGUAAACCGCUUUCGCCUGUGACGAAGCGUGAGUGACGGUAAUGGGUAAAGAAGCACCGGCUAACUACGUGCCAGCAGCCGCGGUGAUACGUAGGGUGCGAGCGUUGUCCGGAUUUAUUGGGCGUAAAGGGCUCGUAGGUGGUUGAUCGCGUCGGAAGUGUAAUCUUGGGGCUUAACCCUGAGCGUGCUUUCGAUACGGGUUGACUUGAGGAAGGUAGGGGAGAAUGGAAUUCCUGGUGGAGCGGUGGAAUGCGCAGAUAUCAGGGGGAACACCAGUGGCGAAGGCGGUUCUCUGGGCCUUUCCUGACGCUGAGGAGCGAAAGCGUGGGGAGCGAACAGGCUUAGAUACCCUGGUAGUCCACGCUGUAAACGGUGGGUACUAGGUGUGGGGUCCAUUCCACGGGUUCCGUGCCGUAGCUAACGCUUUAAGUACCCCGCCUGGGGAGUACGGCCGCAAGGCUAAAACUCAAAGGAAUUGACGGGGCCCCGCACAAGCGGCGGAGCAUGCGGAUUAAUUCGAUGCAACGCGUAGAACCUUACCUGGGUUUGACAUGGAUCGGGAGUGCUCAGAGAUGGGUGUGCCUCUUUUGGGGUCGGUUCACAGGUGGUGCAUGGCUGUCGUCAGCUCGUGUCGUGAGAUGUUGGGUUAAGUCCCGCAACGAGCGCAACCCUUGUUCACUGUUGCCAGCACGUUAUGGUGGGGACUCAGUGGAGACCGCCGGGGUCAACUCGGAGGAAGGUGGGGAUGACGUCAAGUCAUCAUGCCCCUUAUGUCCAGGGCUUCACGCAUGCUACAAUGGCUGGUACAGAGAGUGGCGAGCCUGUGAGGGUGAGCGAAUCUCGGAAAGCCGGUCUCAGUUCGGAUUGGGGUCUGCAACUCGACCUCAUGAAGUCGGAGUCGCUAGUAAUCGCAGAUCAGCAACGCUGCGGUGAAUACGUUCCCGGG
Molecule: ribosomal RNA, 1343 nt
Filed under: uncultured bacterium
Lineage: Bacteria
Description: 16S ribosomal RNA
Rfam family: Bacterial small subunit ribosomal RNA
Source: RNAcentral